UGAGUUCGGAUUUGGGUUUGGAUCCAUCAAAACAAGUGAGCCCCAAAUUUGGAAUCUUAACUCUAUUAACAGUCAGAUUUGAGUUUGAACUCAAGCAUUUUAGAUUCAAUUCAACACAUGAUUUUAACCUAUAUUUAUCUUAUUAUGUACUUGUUUUGUUCUCUUUGAAGCUCUUAUUAAAAACUAAUACUUUGUUCUCUUUCAACCAUUUAUUCAAAAAUAAUAUGUCAUAAUACUAUUGAAUGAGUGGAGGGGGUGAUAUUUUAGAUUUAUAUCUACCAUUUCUCUGAUCUAUUCUUAGUUCCACACUUUACGAAUAUUCACCAAAAGUAUAAUUAGGGGAGCAAAUGGGUCGGGUCAGACUAGGCCAUAAGUGAUCCCGACCCAACUCGGAUUCUUAUUCAGGUCCUCAUGUUGGACUCAGACCCAAUACAAUAGAAGAUUGAGUCGGAUCAAGUCAGAUCCACAUCUAAAAUUUCUAACUUGACAGGUCAUUUGGGUCAGAUGAAUCGGGUCCAUAUAUAACCCCCUUCCAACCCAAAAAAAUUGGGUCUG
RNAcentral lists this long non-coding RNA (555 nucleotides) under Phoenix dactylifera (date palm). Its description in RNAcentral is "long non-coding RNA (PDAC_LNC004749)". Lineage: Eukaryota; Viridiplantae; Streptophyta; Magnoliopsida; Arecales; Arecaceae. The record is from RNAcentral.